CCCAACCAUAACCCAACAAUCAAAUAACCCAUUGUUCGCCAAAUAACUACGAGUAUAAACUUAAAAUUUAAAAGACUUGACGGUACCUCACAACAACCUAGAGGAGCCUGUCUAAUAACCGAUACCCCACGAUUAAACCCAACCCCCCCUAGCCACAGUCUAUAUACCGCCGUCGCCAGCCUACCUUGUAAAAGAAACAAAGUAAGCCCAAUAGUAACACACUAGCACGACAGGUCGAGGUGUAACUUAUGGGCGGGCUAAGAUGGGCUACAUUUUCUAUUACAGAAAAUACGAAUAGACUAUGAAACAAGAAACUGAAGGCGGAUUUAGCAGUAAACUAAGAAUAAAAUACCUAGUCGAAACCAACGCAAUGAGGUGCGUACACACCGCCCGUCAUCCCUGCCAACCACCACAAACACUACAUAAUAUAAUGUUAAACCAUAAAACAGGGCAAGUCGUAACACGGUAAGCGUACUGGAAAGUGCGCUUAGAAA
RNAcentral lists this ribosomal RNA (494 nucleotides) under Ptyas korros. Its description in RNAcentral is "partial 12S ribosomal RNA". It matches the Rfam family "Bacterial small subunit ribosomal RNA", at positions 875 to 1520 of the family's 1533-position model. Lineage: Eukaryota; Metazoa; Chordata; Lepidosauria; Squamata; Colubridae. The record is from RNAcentral.